AUGACCAAUGUGGUGGAGGUGAAAGUUGGUUUACAUUGUGAUGAGUGUAUCAAGAAAAUUCUCAAGGCCAUCAAGAAGAUUGAAGAUAUCGAGACAUACAACGUGGACAAACAAUUGAACAAGGUUAUUGUUACUGGCAAUGUUACGAAUGAAGAAGUGAUUGGAAUUCUUCAUAAGGCUGGCAAGAAUGCAACUGUGUGGGAAAAUGUUCAAUGUUGA
Non-coding RNA from Vicia faba (fava bean), 219 nucleotides. The record is from the annotation of a GenBank genome assembly. NCBI's taxonomy places the organism in Eukaryota, Viridiplantae, Streptophyta, Magnoliopsida, Fabales, Fabaceae.